AUUGAACGCUGGCGGCAUGCCUUACACAUGCAAGUCGAACGGUAACAGGUCUUCGGACGCUGACGAGUGGCGAACGGGUGAGUAAUACAUCGGAACGUGCCCAGUCGUGGGGGAUAACUCAUCGAAAGAGUAGCUAAUACCGCAUACGAUCUGAGGAUGAAAGCGGGGGACCUUCGGGCCUCGCGCGAUUGGAGCGGCCGAUGGCAGAUUAGGUAGUUGGUGGGAUAAAAGCUUACCAAGCCGACGAUCUGUAACUGGUCUGAGAGGACGACCAGCCACACUGGGACUGAGACACGGCCCAGACUCCUACGGGAGGCAGCAGUGGGGAAUUUUGGACAAUGGGCGAAAGCCUGAUCCAGCAAUGCCGCGUGCAGGAUGAAGGCCUUCGGGUUGUAGACUGCUUUUGUACGGAACGAAAAAGCUUCUCCUAAUACGAGAGGCCCAUGACGGUACCGUAAGAAUAAGCACCGGCUAACUACGUGCCAGCAGCCGCGGUAAUACGUAGGGUGCGAGCGUUAAUCGGAAUUACUGGGCGUAAAGCGUGCGCAGGCGGUUAUGUAAGACAGAUGU
This 570-nucleotide ribosomal RNA is filed under the name uncultured bacterium. RNAcentral's name for it is "bacterial SSU rRNA". It matches the Rfam family "Bacterial small subunit ribosomal RNA", at positions 28 to 595 of the family's 1533-position model. The record is from RNAcentral.